UACGGGGGGGGCAAGCGUUGUUCGGAAUUACUGGGCGUAAAGGGCUCGUAGGUGGCCAACUAAGUCAGACGUGAAAUCCCUCGGCUUAACCGGGGAACUGCGUCUGAUACUGGAUGGCUUGAGUGUGGGAGAGGGAUGCGGAAUUCCAGGUGUAGCGGUGGAAUGCGUAGAGAUCCGGAAGAACACCGGUGGCGAAGGCGGCCUGCUGGGCAGUUGCUGACACUGAGGCGCGACAGAGUGGGGAGCAAACAGG
This 253-nucleotide ribosomal RNA is filed under the name uncultured bacterium. RNAcentral describes it as "partial 16S ribosomal RNA". It matches the Rfam family "Bacterial small subunit ribosomal RNA", at positions 524 to 776 of the family's 1533-position model. The record is from RNAcentral.